GAAGGUGGCCUGUGAGGGUUGCUGGAGGUAUCAGAAGUGCGAAUGCUGACAUAAGUAACGAUAAAGCGGGUGAAAAGCCCGCUCGCCGGAAGACCAAGGGUUCCUGUCCAACGUUAAUCGGGGCAGGGUGAGUCGACCCCUAAGGCGAGGCCGAAAGGCGUAGUCGAUGGGAAACGGGUUAAUAUUCCCGUACUUGGUGUUACUGCGAAGGGGGGACGGAGAAGGCUAUGUUGGCCGGGCGACGGUUGUCCCGGUUUAAGCGUGUAGGUGUGUGUUCCAGGUAAAUCCGGUUCACUUUAACACUGAGGCGUGAUGACGAGGCACUACGGUGCUGAAGCAACAAAUGCCCUGCUUCCAGGAAAAGCCUCUAAGCAUCAGGUAACAUCAAAUCGUACCCCAAACCGACACAGGUGGUCAGGUAGAGAAUACCAAGGCGCUUGAGAGAACUCGGGUGAAGGAACUAGGCAAAAUGGUGCCGUAACUUCGGGAGAAGGCACGCUGACAUGUAGGUGAAGUGAUUUACUCAUGGAGCUGAAGUCAGUCGAAGAUACCAGCUG
Molecule: ribosomal RNA, 557 nt
Filed under: Salmonella enterica subsp. enterica serovar Oranienburg
Lineage: Bacteria; Pseudomonadati; Pseudomonadota; Gammaproteobacteria; Enterobacterales; Enterobacteriaceae
Description: bacterial LSU rRNA
Rfam family: Bacterial large subunit ribosomal RNA
Source: RNAcentral